GUCUACCAUGCAGUCGAGCGCGUCCCUUCGGGGGCGAGCGGCGCACGGGUGAGUAACGCGUGGGAACAUAGACGGGGUAGGGGAUAACCGCUGGAAACGGCGGCUAAUACCCUAUACGUCCUGAGGGAGAAAGAUUUAUCGCCCUGGGAUGGGCCCGCGUCGGAUUAGCUAGUUGGUGGGGUAACGGCUCACCAAGGCGACGAUCCGUAGCUGGUCUGAGAGGAUGAUCAGCCACACUGGGACUGAGACACGGCCCAGACUCCUACGGGAGGCAGCAGUGGGGAAUAUUGGACAAUGGGCGCAAGCCUGAUCCAGCCAUGCCGCGUGAGUGAAGAAGGCCCUAGGGUUGUAAAGCUCUUUCACCCGCGAAGAUGAUGACGGUAGCGGGAGAAGAAGCCCCGGCUAACUCCGUGCCAGCACC
RNAcentral lists this ribosomal RNA (421 nucleotides) under uncultured bacterium. RNAcentral's name for it is "bacterial SSU rRNA". It matches the Rfam family "Bacterial small subunit ribosomal RNA", at positions 46 to 515 of the family's 1533-position model. The record is from RNAcentral.